RNAcentral lists this ribosomal RNA (495 nucleotides) under uncultured bacterium. Its description in RNAcentral is "partial 16S ribosomal RNA". It matches the Rfam family "Bacterial small subunit ribosomal RNA", at positions 28 to 507 of the family's 1533-position model. The record is from RNAcentral.
GACGAACGCUGGCGGCGUGCCUAAUACAUGCAAGUAGAACGCUGAAGGAGGAGCUUGCUUCUCUGGAUGAGUUGCGAACGGGUGAGUAACGCGUAGGUAACCUGCCUGGUAGCGGGGGAUAACUAUUGGAAACGAUAGCUAAUACCGCAUAAGAGUAGAUGUUGCAUGACAUUUACUUAAAAGGUGCAAUUGCAUCACUACCAGAUGGACCUGCGUUGUAUUAGCUAGUUGGUGAGGUAACGGCUCACCAAGGCAACGAUACAUAGCCGACCUGAGAGGGGGAUCGGCCACACCGGGACUGAGACACGGCCCAGACUCCUACGGGAGGCAGCAGUAGGGAAUCUUCGGCAAUGGACGGAAGUCUGACCGAGCAACGCCGCGUGAGUGAAGAAGGUUUUCGGAUCGUAAAGCUCUGUUGUAAGAGAAGAACGAGUGUGAGAGUGGAAAGUUCACACUGUGACGGUAUCUUACCAGAAAGAGACGGCUAACUACGUG